CCCCUCUCAGGGUAGCACCUGGAGAGUUUCCAGUACUCUACCAGUCUCGACUAUGAGAGGGAGAGUCAAGCAGAGGAAUACUCAUUUCAGUCCUAGCUUGGGCAGAGGCUAGCAAGUGGAAGGCAAUGUGCUACGAGU
Ornithorhynchus anatinus (platypus) is the source of this 138-nucleotide small nucleolar RNA. NCBI's taxonomy places the organism in Eukaryota, Metazoa, Chordata, Mammalia, Monotremata, Ornithorhynchidae. The record is from RefSeq and is a predicted model, not a curated record.